This 301-nucleotide ribosomal RNA is filed under the name uncultured bacterium. RNAcentral describes it as "partial 16S ribosomal RNA". It matches the Rfam family "Bacterial small subunit ribosomal RNA", at positions 509 to 809 of the family's 1533-position model. The record is from RNAcentral.
CAGCCGCCGCGGGAAUACGAAGGGUGCAAGCGUUACUCGGAAUUACUGGGCGUAAAGCGUGCGUAGGUGGUGGUUUAAGUCCGUUGUGAAAGCCCUGGGCUCAACCUGGGAAUUGCAGUGGAUACUGGGUCACUAGAGUGUGGUAGAGGAUAGUGGAAUUUCCGGUGUAGCAGUGAAAUGCGUAGAGAUCGGAAGGAACAUCUGUGGCGAAGGCGGCCAUCUGGGACAACACUGACGCUGAGGCACGAAAGCGUGGGGAGCAAACAGGAUUAGAUACCCCGGUAGUCCCUGUCUCUUAUAU